UAUGUGAUCGUCUCUCGCAUAUCAAUAAGCGGAGGAAAAGAAACUAACAAGGAUUCCCCUAGUAACGGCGAGUGAAGCGGGAAGAGCUCAAAUUUGAAAUCUUAAAGGGUUUCCCUUUACGAAUUGUAGUUUAAAGAAGUGUUUUCUGUUGAGGUUUUGGUAAAAGUUCUUUGGAAUAGGACAUCAUAGAGGGUGAGAAUCCCGUAUUUGACCUUUACUUUCAACUUUGUGAUACACUUUCAAAGAGUCGGAUUGUUUGGGAAUGCAGUCCAAAAUGGGUGGUAAAUUUCAUCUAAAGCUAAAUAUUGGCGAGAGACCGAUAGCGAACAAGUACCGUGAGGGAAAGAUGAAAAGAACUUUGAAAAGAGAGUUAAACAGUACGUGAAAUUGUCAAAAGGGAAGCGUUUGACACCAGUGUUGUUUUUCUGAAAAUCAAUUAAAGAACUGUUUAUGCUAAGUUGUUUAGACUUUAUCAGCUAACUGUUUAGUUUUGAGCUUUUCUUUAAUGCACUUCUCAGUUAACAAGUCAACAUCAAUUUCUUUUGCUGUAAAAAAGCUUGAGGAAGGUGGCUUGAGAUUCGUCUUAAGUGUUUAUAGCCUCUUGCCUAUGCAGUCGGAGAGAUUGAGGUCUGCAGCGUAGAUCCUUCGGGGCUAAAUGCAUUUGUGCUAAGUUAUAGCAUUUUAUAGACAACUUGUUGACUAUGAUUUGUCUUGUAGCUUACUCGCUUAUGUUAUUUUACCUACGCUUAGGAUGUUGAAGACUCUACAGAGAUA
This 774-nucleotide ribosomal RNA is filed under the name uncultured Neocallimastigales. RNAcentral describes it as "partial large subunit ribosomal RNA". It matches the Rfam family "Eukaryotic large subunit ribosomal RNA", at positions 24 to 633 of the family's 3401-position model. Lineage: Eukaryota; Fungi; Neocallimastigomycota; Neocallimastigomycetes; Neocallimastigales. The record is from RNAcentral.